CCCGGUGGCCAUGCCGGAGGGGCCACACCCGUUCCCAUUCCGAACACGGUCGUUAAGCCCUCCAGGGCCGAUGGUACUGCACUGGCAACGGUGUGGGAGAGUAGGUCGCUGCCGGGA
Molecule: ribosomal RNA, 117 nt
Filed under: Pseudomonadota bacterium
Lineage: Bacteria; Pseudomonadati; Pseudomonadota
Also listed under: 2 other names
Source: RNAcentral